Drosophila ananassae is the source of this 3968-nucleotide long non-coding RNA. RefSeq lists it as uncharacterized. Lineage: Eukaryota; Metazoa; Arthropoda; Insecta; Diptera; Drosophilidae. The record is from RefSeq and is a predicted model, not a curated record. The transcript has 2 exons.
UGUUGAUCCUAUUUUUUAUUAAUUUUUUAACAUUUUUAGGGAGUCAGUUUUCAAAACAAUGUCUAGGAUUUCAGUUAGUGGGUAUCAUCUGUAUUUGUGCCGUACUUGCGAACGGUUUUCGAUUACCAUCCGACAACGUCAACAAAGUGGCUGGCAAAGGUUUUGGGUUCUUAACCACAUUUUCCUAGUCUUGUGGCGGAUAGUCGCUGCGAUGAUAGUCCGGAUCGGAUGUCGUCCUAUCGACCGCAGCCGGACUACUAUUGCGCAAUGUUAUGCUAGAUUACACCUCUGGAAAUUGUUAUUUAAAUUCCCGCACUUGUCACGUAGACGACCGACGACGGACGACGACUCUCUGGCCAGAUGAUAAGCUAUCUCAGGCUCAUCUGAGCUAUCUGGAAUUAUUCGCAAAUGCCAGCACCUGUCGUCGCACUUUAAACUCAUUUUUUGACUGAUUCAUCCCAUUUCUUUAAACUGAAUCAGAUUCAGAUUCUGUGUUUACUUGCCAAUUGGAGAGUGAGAGGGGAGACCCUUGGCAUCUGGGUCAUCGUAAUCUGGCAGAUUGUCAAAAAAGCGAACAAAAACUGUGCCUGCAUUAUGGCAUUAUGGCUCUGCGAACGUGUUCUGCAAUUGUAAGCCAAACUCACAACUGCAGGCUGUCUGGGAAAUACUCUGUGUUCGAGCCACAAAUGGUAGAUGGCCAAGAGUUGGAGCUAGUUUUGGUCUACGAUUAGCUAAUGCCAUCAGCUAAUAUGGGUAAUGAGAGUGGAUAUGUCCCGAGGAAACUGUAGGCUAUGAUUAUACAAUAGAUCUACAGUCUCUAUUUGGUUUUUGGAAAUCAUAUAACAGAAUAUAUUACACCGAUUUGCUCAGAAAAUGAAAAUAAAAACCGGCUAACAGCAAAGGCAUUGUGCUGCGGCUCUUGGCAUUUCCAGUCACGUUGGCUCCUCGAUCUGCUAAACUUGCAAAUCCGAAGCACACAAAAAACCUGAAAAAAUUUAAUUAAUACACGCGAUCCACUCAAGAAUCGAAAGCAAAAUGCUGCCCGGACUGGCCUGGCCCCUGAGUCACGCAUUGAAUUUGUUUUACAAAGCAAUUUGUAUAAACAAAUUGCAACUGAUUCAGUCUCAGCCCAGCGAGCGAGCGAGCGAGUUUAUUCCGAAUCGCUUUCUGAUAAACAAAUAAUAUUAUUACCAUAUAUGUGGUUUGCCUUAAGACGUCAUAGCAUUUUGCCAGCAAAGAAGGCAAAUGAAACUUCCCAAAAAGAUAAGUUCCCGGGGAGAUUGCCGGACCCAUGGCCCAGCCCCAGCCCAUGUGCGAUUAAGCGAAAAAAUAAAUAUAACAAAAAAAUUAAAUAUAUAUAUAGUUACAUCCCACGCCCGACUUGACUUUAUCAUCGCUCACGCAAUGUGUUUUAUAGCGUCUUUGGGUUUCUGUUUGUUAGUUUCCUGAUUACUCCCCUCUCCUCGCAUAAUGCGCCAUUUUCCGCACGGAUGUCUGCCGGCGGAGCUUCCACAGCCGAUUUGGCCCUAACUUCCGGCAGACGAUAAUAAACUUAAGAACUGUAUCGAUCAUGCACUUUAUGGCGCCAUAAAGGCAAACAAAUUAAUCAUCCCGGGGGCGCAGUGUCAUCUGCCUGGGUGGGAUAUCUGUUCUAUGAAGAUAAGCCACAGAUCCCUGGACAAACUUGGGAGAAACCCACCACCGAUGACUUCAUGAUGGUAUCAUAAAUAAAGUCUUGCACAUUGUGGACUAAGUACACUUUAUUCAAUUUUGCAUAAAGUAAAGUGGAGAGUACAGUGGUAGCUCUGUAACUGAUUGUUGCAAGUUUUUGUAAGAGAGUACAGUGGUAACACCCGAUAGUUUUGAGAAAGGUCUUUGAAGGCCCCCUUGCGGUGCUCAUAUCUUCCACAAUUUUAAUCCGUUCCUUGAAAGGAAUGCCUCCAUAGAUUUCUAGAUCGAUUCCCUAUGAUUCUGCAUCAAAACCUGGAAACAAAAUUUUGGAUCCAUAUUUUUCAAAUUUUUCUGAUGGAGGUCCUUGUAGAUUCUAUGAUUUCCAGAUAUGGCUCCCUGCUAUGCCCAUAUCUUCUACAAUUUUCAUCCGAUCCUUGGAAAGAAUACCUUAAACGAUUACGAGAUCAAUUCCCUAUUAUUCUUCAUCAAAACUUCGCUACAAAAUUUUUGAUAGAUAUUUUUUCGAAUUUUUCUAAUGGAAAAGGCGUAUGUACGACUUCCUUAUAUGACCCCCUGGGAUGCCUUAAAAAAGAUUAAUUUGUUUCUUUGAAGGUUAACAAACUCUUAGUUUGAUUGACGCUCAAAAAUAGACUCAAUUGCUGUGUCCAUUUAUGGAGAGAUCACUGUGGGCGUAAAGCUUCUUUGUAUGUCUCGCCUGAUUCUGGCAAGGGGUGCUAUUUGGCAUCGAUGGCAGUGCUAUGCUACUAGUAUCGUUGGCUGUCGUCGCUCUGGUUACAAUCCGAGUUCAGGGACAAAAGCAGCCACGCACUUUACAAUGGGGGAGGAAUUGUGUUCUGUUCAGUCCGGAUGGGCUUUUUAUUGCGGCCACACAGUGGCGAGGAGAACUUUUAAUUAAGUUGCCAUAGUCCACCACCAUCCAUUAUCACUCGCUAUAUGCAUUACAAGGGUUGAUUUCGUUGCACAUUUCGGGACGAUUGCAUGUGUGGCAUGUGUGGGUCCUUCAAGGUGGGCUUUCGCCUCCAACUAUGCCUGCUUUGUAGGCCUUGUGUGGCACUGUACUCUGGGCCUAGGUUCAUUGACACUAAUUUGUUUUAUUCGCAAUGCUGUUUGCCCGAAGCUUUUGUGUGAGGGGGUUGGUUGGUUGGUUGGAAAUGUAAGCAAGUUUUCGGACGAUCGAUACCUAAUUUCCGGCUGCAGCCUCCGAUGGUAAUUAUUCGCGGGAGAUCCGCAUGUAUUUCCGUACACAUGUGCACGACCUUUUUGCAUUUGGCCGAAAAAAAUCGAAUAAAAAAUCGCGAUUUGCGGAGUGCAGCUGUGGAAUUGCAGGCGACGGGCAGUCUGGCAUGUCCACAAAACACGCCAAAGAAAAAAAUAAAAUAAAGUAAUAGUACAGUAAACUAUCUGACAAAGGAAAUUGUGAUCAUUGUGAUUACAUUUUUAAGCGACAAUGACACAUGGGGGCAGGGAAAUAGGGAUAUAUCAGAGAAGUCUAGAAGCUCUAAUAUAUUUUAUUAAAAUUUUUAUGAUUAUAUAUAAAAUGAUUCAUAAAUAUUUAUAUGAAAAGUAAUGAUUAAAUAUUAAUUUUAUUAUUUUUUGUAAAAACCCUGAUCCAUCCACCGCAAGUGUAAGCGAUUCAGUGGCCAGUGUCCAACUCAAUUGAGGAAAUAUCAAAUUAUGUUCGAGCCUCGUCAUCAUCACUCAUCCCGGGCCAUUGUGUCCACAACUUGUUGCAAUUAGUCAUUGCAUUAAUUCAUUGUCCCCCAUAUAGUAUAGUAGUUGAAGUAGUUCUUAUGCAGGCGAUGAUGAUAAGUCUGAAGACUGAAAGUUGCUGCCACAAUAAUGUUUCUGAUGCUUCUGGUUCGUGCAACAACUAAAAAUAAUCAAACAAGGCGCGACGGACGACCCACGCAACGAUUUCUCACUUCUGGUGUUUGCUCCAAUUUCGAAAUGUCAACAAAAAGUAUAUAGAGAGUUUAUUUUUGGUCAGCUCAGUAUAUCAUAUAUUUUAUUAGGAGUUCUAAGCAGAAGCAGGAGACCUCCUUUAAGAAAUAGUAAUUCUAAAGGAAGGCAGAGGUCUACCUUUCAUAAGAGUUCUUCAGUCUACUAGUCAUGCCUUUUAUUGACUUACCAUUUUACAUAUCCCUCAUAUAUCAUACAAGCUAUAUAUCUAUACAAUGUCUGUUUGUGGAGGCAGCCUGCACAGGUGCAUGUUUGGUUUCGAAACGAAAAACAGUCAGGUGAGUGAGACGAUCCAGACGAGCCAUCGGCGAGCGAAA